UCCGAGUUGACCCCGGCAGUCUCCUAUGAGUCCCCACCAUAACGUGCUGGCAACAUAGGACAAGGGUUGCGCUCGUUGCGGGACUUAACCCAACAUCUCACGACACGAGCUGACGACAGCCAUGCAGCACCUGUGUCCAGGCUCCCUUUCGGGCACCCUCCAAUCUCUCAGAGGUUCCUGGCAUGUCAAGGGUAGGUAAGGUUUUUCGCGUUGCAUCGAAUUAAUCCACAUCAUCCACCGCUUGUGCGGGUCCCCGUCAAUUCCUUUGAGUUUUAAUCUUGCGACCGUACUCCCCAGGCGGUCUACUUCACGCGUUAGCUGCGUUACCAAGUCACUUAAGACCCGACAACUAGUAGACAUCGUUUAGGGCGUGGACUA
Molecule: unclassified non-coding RNA, 378 nt
Filed under: uncultured Gammaproteobacteria bacterium
Lineage: Bacteria; Pseudomonadati; Pseudomonadota; Gammaproteobacteria
Description: contains 16S-23S intergenic spacer region
Source: RNAcentral